UUACGGCCUUAUCAUGUUGAAACACCAGGUUCCUCUACAAUCCCAAAGUUAAGCAACGUCGAGCCUGAUCAGUACCUAGAUGGGUGACUGCUUGGGAAUACCAGAUGCU
This 109-nucleotide ribosomal RNA is filed under the name Acanthosepion pharaonis. The record is from RNAcentral. Lineage: Eukaryota; Metazoa; Mollusca; Cephalopoda; Sepiida; Sepiidae.